CAUUAUUGCUUCAACAAUUGAAAUCUUUUUCUGUAUACUUUCACUUUUAUCAAUGAUUAGAAAAGGGAUGUAUCUUACAAAACAAUUACAGUAGUUUUGGGAAUCUCUUAUGUGUGAGAAGGGAUUUUGAAUAAGGGAGAAGGGAUUUUGAAUUUGUGUGAAAAUGUAUCAGAGAUACAAUUCAAUUCAACGGCUGAGAUGUGUUGUUUUUAACCAUUGAGGGUUGAGAUGUGUUGUUUUCAACGGCCCCUUGAUGUGUUGUUUUCAAUUCCUGCCCAAAACAAUCCCCUCUCUCUCCUGUGUUCCACCCACUCCAAACAUUAUUUGCACACUUCUCUCUCUCUCUCUCUCUCUCUCUCUCCAACUUCUCAGGUCUCAAACUCUGUCCUCAGAGAUCUCUCUCUUCCUCUCCCUUCUCUCCACUGCCGCUCUGCUUCCACCAUCGCGUCGUCUCCACCGUCGCGUCGCCUCCGAUCUCCACCGACAGCAACUCUUCAUCUCUUCUCCCUAUUAGAUCUCAACCCACGACGGCACCUCUGUCCUCCAUCGCAGAGAAACCGAUAAAGAGUUGCGGUAUCGUUUCAUCUAUAAUCAUUUUAUGAGUUUGCACGAGGAGGAAAAACGGAUGUGGAGACUUCAAAACAGAUUAUUCACUGGUGCUGGUGCUGGUGCUGGUGUAAAGGAAUCUCAAGACUUCAAAACAGAAGUUUUGGAACGAGGAGUACCUGCAAAAAGGGAAAUUACUUUUGAGACAGAACUAUUUGGGUCAAAGACAUUUUUGAUAUAUGUUGAACCUGUAUUCAGCAACGCAGGGGAUACUAUUGGUGUGAAUUACAUGGGUAUGGAUGUAACUGAUCAGGCCAGACCACAACUUGCAAGAUGUAAGAAUCAAUAUCUUCCCUUUCAAAAGAAGAAAGGUGAAGGCACCAGAAGUUGCAGCUUCUGUUACAUUAUCUGUGAGAAGGAGAGAUCACUCUCAUCAUUGGUGGUCUGCACUCCCAGAGUAUCAACACAGACUGCCAUGACAGGAAGAAGGUCAAAAGCUAUUGCAAGAAAGGCAUCUUCUGUACGAAGUUCCAGUUUUCCCACUGAAAAGCCCGUUAAGAAAGAGGAAGAUUCUGUGGAAGAUCAUCCAGAGGGCUUAAGCUCACCCGAGACUUUAACUAAAUUAACUCAGAAUAUAAGAGGAAACAAUGCGAGCAAAACAAAUGCUGGCAACCAUGUCUCAUGAGAUAAGAUCUCCACUAUCAGGAGUUGUAAGCAUGGCUGAGAUUCUUUCCACCACAAACCUUGACAAGGAGCAAAGACAAUUAUUGAGUGUCAUGUUAUCUUCAGGAGAUUUAGUUCUUCAACUUAUAAAUGACAUUCUUGACCUUUCCAAAGUUGAAUCAGGAUGAUGAGUGACCAUAAGGUGGAGAAGUUCUCUGUAGAUUUUCAUGGACCCAAAAACAGCAAGGGUCUUGACAUUGGUUUGUGGGGGCUGUUGACAUUGGUUUGGAUCUCAACAUUUUCUUUUUUAUUUUUUUUUCUUCAACCCGCAUGUCUCUCAUGGGUCAUUAUUUUUGUUUCAUUUUAUUUUAUUUCUAUAACCCAAUUUAAAUUUUCACUCAUGAUUCAUGGACUAUUUCUUUAUCCCUGUUGAAGACAUGGUGAAGAAAUUGAAAAGAAACAGAGUAAGAAAAGAGAUAGUGGUCGGUUUUCUUAAUUGUGUUGCGCAUUCAAAUGCUUAGCCACUAUCACAUCUUUAUUUAUUUUAUGUGCUAUUCAAAUUGUGUUGAUAUAUUAUUA
This is a non-coding RNA of Camellia sinensis, 1788 nucleotides long. Lineage: Eukaryota; Viridiplantae; Streptophyta; Magnoliopsida; Ericales; Theaceae. The record is from RefSeq and is a predicted model, not a curated record.